Molecule: long non-coding RNA, 441 nt
Filed under: Gallus gallus (chicken)
Lineage: Eukaryota; Metazoa; Chordata; Aves; Galliformes; Phasianidae
Source: RNAcentral
AGCAAAGCUGACAAUGGCAUCUAACUGAGCUAUGACAUCAUUCAUGGUCUGUAUUGGCUCUGCAUAACCUGAAGCGAUGUUAAUUAUUUCCUUAACAAUUGCAUCCUGAGCCUCUUCAUACUCUUCUCUGUUCUUUAUGUACUCCUCAUUGAUGGCACUCAGCUUGCUGUUUGUAAACUUCACACCAUUCUUCUGUGUAUCAGUUAUCUUGUACUUCAUGUUGUUCCUGAGAACCUUUUCCUCCUUGCAAGUAAUUCGAAAGUGGUGUCCAAACUGUGAAUUUGACUCCAGUUUGAUACUUUUACCAGCUUCCAGACCAAGCUCUUUGGCUGCACUCUUCAAUAAGGUCUGCAUGCUUUCUUCCAGCUCAUUCAUCUUCUCUCGCAGUUCUGUCAGGUUGGGGUCGAAAGAAGCCUUAACCAGGAACUCAUGAUUCUCCAC